GUCCUACAAAAUAGUUUAAGGCAGGCUAAUUCAGUUUUCAUUUUCAAGGUUGAUCUGCGCUGUGCUGUUAAAAGCUAGAUUUGGAUACGUUACGCAAAAAUUGACUGUAAGAUUGUUUACAGCCAAAUAUAGAACAGGGGAGUAGGGACAAGGACGAACUUGUACCUACUCGACUCUGAGUAGGGUUUUGUCUGUUAAGGAUUGUCGUGUUGAUUGAAUGCCUAUCCAGUCACUGACGCACGCGAGAAGCGGCGGGCCGCGCUGGAGCGUCGAGCAAAGCACGUGCCAAUCUGAUAGUUAAUCGAAUAACGACAUCCAACAUUCAACUACAAUUGAACGAAGUCCGAGGACGAGAGACAGCCAACAAACGAAUAGUGGGAAGUCGCCAUCUUUAGCAAAAGUCGCCUCGUUCGACAAGGGGGAUCUCUCGAUCAACAUGAGACAAAGCAAAAAUUGACUUCCUAAGAAGCAUUUAGAUCCAGAGUAAAUACGAGAGAGGCCGUGAUCUACAUUUGGUGUCAAAGUGUCUGGAACAUUGGUAAAUGCUGUAGAAAAACAGGUCGCUGGACAAGGAACGCUAUAUGGUUCAAUUGCGCUUCUGAUACUCAGGGCACAAAAGAGUCGACCUACAAAGUGACCUUAACCACGCUGCUCCAUUGCAAUGCUGAGCCACGUAUGGCAAGGGCCGCUACAUCCAUCCUGCAAGAAUUCUAUUGAGAGACUUUUUUUUUUACAGUCAGCAUAGUUUGUAAAUCGGGCAAAAAGACAUAUCAGUAGAAACUAAUACUAAAACGAAUCAUUACUUGUCGAGAAUACAACACGUUUAUUAAUUUCAGACUCAGUUGUAUAUUCCUGUGAGAUUUGUCGAAUAAAGUGGUCAAUAUCGGCUUUCCUUCGGGAGAAGUAUCUUUUUUAGCGGAUUCUAUGACUCAGCGCACACUUGU
This is a long non-coding RNA of Varroa destructor (honeybee mite), 944 nucleotides long. RefSeq lists it as uncharacterized. Lineage: Eukaryota; Metazoa; Arthropoda; Arachnida; Mesostigmata; Varroidae. The record is from RefSeq and is a predicted model, not a curated record.